UUUGUCUCUAAAUUCAUUUGGAAAGAAAGCCAGAGCAGCCCCAGGUGUGAACUGUGAGGAUAAGGAGGGGCCGGCUCCUGCCGGCAGCUGUUUUAGGGGCUUUGCCUCAGCUGAUUUUACAGGGAGCUGCUGGAGAAGAGGAGUUUAUGGGUGGCUCCUGGGGCUGUCCUUGGAAGGACGGUGACAGCUUCGGACAGGGUCUGGGGGAUCACCUGGAUACGCACUUGGAUACCUGGAGCAUUGCUCAGAGGAGGUGCCGAGGGACAAACCUUUGUGCCAGGUAGCGGCAGCCAAACAGGGGCUGAAACUGAAGGGGAGAACACAUUUAUUUGCCCUUGUUGAAGUGAGGCGAGCACCUGAGUGUGGCGGAAAUGCAGGAGAACGCGAAAGCAUCGGGGCAGAGCAGCCGCUGGAGGUGCCCGAGCCGUCUCCCCCUUGCCCGCAGGGCCGGAGUUGCCCACCGCCGGCAGCUGACAGGUCCGUGCUGGAGAGUGGGAGAAGGGUCCCUGCUGGCUGCCGUGUCCUGGGUGGGCACAGAGCUCUGACCUUGGCCAGAUGGGCUGGUUUCCGGGUGUUUUGAUCCUGACGUCGCCAAAGCCUCAGUUUGCUGAAUUGGGGCUCUUACCUGUGUGACCCGUGAAAUGUCCCGGAAGCUGAUCGAUGUCUUCCUGCUCCCGCUGUGUUCAUUUGGGCUGUGCUUCAGGCUUCUCUCCCUGGGCCCUUGCCGUUGCCGUAUCUCUUGGAUGCCGUGCAGAACGGAAUCAGGCAGCCAAGCCUCAGAGGAGCACGUGUACAUAAGGGUAAAGAGAUUCCUUCUGUCACACCGGUGUUUGGACCUGAGGAAGGUACCAGGUUUU
Long non-coding RNA from Vidua chalybeata, 857 nucleotides. RefSeq lists it as uncharacterized. The record is from RefSeq and is a predicted model, not a curated record. Lineage: Eukaryota; Metazoa; Chordata; Aves; Passeriformes; Viduidae. The transcript is spliced from 6 exons.